UACAGAGGGGGCAAGCGUUAUUCGGAAUUAUUGGGCGUAAAGAGCGUGUAGGCGGUCCGGUAAGUCAGCUGUGAAAGUCAAGGGCUCAACCCUUGAAAGCCGGUUGAUACUGUCGGGCUAGAGUCCGGAAGAGGCGAGUGGAAUUCCCGGUGUAGCGGUGAAAUGCGCAGAUAUCGGGAGGAACACCAAUGGCGAAGGCAGCUCGCUGGGACGGUACUGACGCUGAGACGCGAAAGCGUGGGGAGCAAACAGG
RNAcentral lists this ribosomal RNA (253 nucleotides) under uncultured bacterium. RNAcentral describes it as "partial 16S ribosomal RNA". It matches the Rfam family "Bacterial small subunit ribosomal RNA", at positions 524 to 776 of the family's 1533-position model. The record is from RNAcentral.